UACGUAGGUGGCGAGCGUUGUCCGGAUUUACUGGGCGUAAAGGGAGCGUAGGCGGACUUUUAAGUGAGAUGUGAAAUACUCGAGCUCAACUUGAGUGCUGCAUUUCAAACUGGAAGUCUAGAGUGCAGGAGAGGAGAAUGGAAUUCCUAGUGUAGCGGUGAAAUGCGUAGAGAUUAGGAAGAACACCAGUGGCGAAGGCGAUUCUCUGGACUGUAACUGACGCUGAGGCUCGAAAGCGUGGGGUGCAAACAGG
This 253-nucleotide ribosomal RNA is filed under the name uncultured bacterium. RNAcentral's name for it is "partial 16S ribosomal RNA". It matches the Rfam family "Bacterial small subunit ribosomal RNA", at positions 524 to 776 of the family's 1533-position model. The record is from RNAcentral.